This is a non-coding RNA of Bactrocera oleae (olive fruit fly), 1134 nucleotides long. The record is from RefSeq and is a predicted model, not a curated record. NCBI's taxonomy places the organism in Eukaryota, Metazoa, Arthropoda, Insecta, Diptera, Tephritidae.
CUUAAAGCACUCGUUCGCACGAACGAACUUAGACUUUUGUACUUUUUUCUUCUGAUUACUGUUUUCUUGUUUCUUGCGUUAGUUUCAAUUUCUUUGCAACGGUUUCUUAUUACUUUAUAUUGUUUGCGUGAGAGUAAUUAAAACUAAAGCUCGCUAACUGGCUGCGGAGCUGGUUUGUGUUGAAAACGGAAACGGUGAGGGUGUGUUCCAAGACAGCAUAGAAUUAAAAGAAGAAUGUGACGUAAGCGAAGAGCGAAAGUUGUAAAAUAGCGUGCUUGAGGUUAUUAAAAUUCAAAAGAAACGGUCAGCAAGGUGAGUGUAUGGCGAGACAGACAAAGUGUAAGCGGACGAUUUUUAUAUACAUAUAUUUAUGCGGCAACUGUUUGCUAAUUAAAUAAUAAAAGAAUAUUUGGUAAAUAAUAAUAAAAAAAAGUAAUAAAAUCUACACUCUGCAAGGCAAGUUUAAGGUUCUUUUCCUGAUAAAUUUGUUGCUCGAAAAUAAAAUCUCGUCAUCUAAUGAAAAAUCACUAAAACAUGUUAGAAAGACAUUAGCGAAAUUAUUUUAUGACAGGUGAAGCCAUAAAAUGUGAUAAUAAAAAAACUACAUAAAAACAAUCAAAACAAGGCAUAUGUAUGUGAAUUGUAUGUAGUUAGGGAAAAUAACGCACCCAAAAAGCUGACAACGUUAUCAGUAAAUAUUGACAUUCUGAUAUGUAACAUUAACACAGAUAAAGACGAAACGACACGUGAGACAAGUUCGUGAACUAACGGUUAUAGAGGUCAAGAGUCAAAGCCAAAUAAUAUGGAUUAGUGACCCACGUCUACGCAUGUAAAUGGAAGCAGCAAACCCUUCCAUAUUUACUUAAGUGUCUAGUGAUUUGGCCACAGUGAGUGCAAGAACAAUAUAAUUACAACCUAGUGAUUAGUAAGCAGUCGAUUAGUUUGUGACUAACGGAAUUUUUGAGGGUCACAUUUUUGACGUAAUUAAACACAAGUAAAAAAGUAAAAAGUUAUUAUAUCAUUAGAUAUAAAUGUGCGUGUGUUAGUUGGCACUAGAUUUAAUCGCAUAGCAAUACUUUGUACAAGAAACACGUCGCGUGUAGACUUACAUAUGUACAUCAAUGCAUACAGGGU